CACACUCAAACAGCAUUUGUGAAAAUUCUUGACGUAAAGAAAAAAAAAGAAAAAAUGUGUCUAGUCUAAAUGUCAUAAUAAUGAUAAUAAUAAAUAGGUGUAUCCUAAAAUCGUAGAACACUGACUAGGGGGUAGAUGCUGAGGUGGAUCGCAAUAGAAGAAAGAAGAUGGUCGGCUAUAUCUCUCUCUCUCGAUACGUUUCUUACGGCCAGAAAUGAGGCAAAUAGGUGGGCCUAGCAAAGACGACUAAUCUCCACCGUCCUAACUCAAUACACACAAAUAUUCGUUUUUCUCUCCCACAGUCAGAGCUAGAGAGACACGUGUCGUUAUCACCAAAAGAUUCAUUGGCGCGUGUGUAUAUAUGGGUCCCAGUCGUCUCUGCUGUGAUUCCCCCAAAUCUGACGUCCGGGCUGCAGUUCGCCGCUGGUCUACUCAUCCGUCAAACGCCGGUUACACAGUGGAACAACGGCUGAAAGAUGGAAACAGUGUUGAAUCUGGACCACUAGGCUAGAUUAUUAAAAUAAAAAAUAAAAUAAAA
Non-coding RNA from Camelina sativa (false flax), 538 nucleotides. Lineage: Eukaryota; Viridiplantae; Streptophyta; Magnoliopsida; Brassicales; Brassicaceae. The record is from RefSeq and is a predicted model, not a curated record.